AGCUAACCCAUCCCUGUUACAAAAGGGUGGGACGAUUUUAAAGUAGAGGUGACACACCUAUCGAGCCCAGAGAUAGCUGGUUAUUCAAAAGACGGAUUUAAGUCCAACUUUAAGGCCCCCCCCCAGUAAUACUAAAUAACCCAACAACUUAAAAGCCAUUCAAAUAAGGUACAGCCUAUUUGAACAAGGAAACAGCCUACAAUAUAGGGUAAUGACCACACACAUGACCAAGUGGGCCUAAAAGCAGCCAACUUUUAUAGAGCGUCCAAGCCUCACCACCAACCAUCCUCAAUUCCACCAUUCACGCACAACCCACAACCACCACUGAAUGACCCCAUACCUAUAUGGGAAACAUCAUGCUAGAACUAGUAACAAGAAGACGAACUUCUCCAAAAUGUAAGCGUAAGCCAAAAAUGAACCA
Molecule: ribosomal RNA, 421 nt
Filed under: Stumpffia miovaova
Lineage: Eukaryota; Metazoa; Chordata; Amphibia; Anura; Microhylidae
Description: partial 16S ribosomal RNA
Source: RNAcentral